This 696-nucleotide ribosomal RNA is filed under the name Bacillus cereus. Its description in RNAcentral is "bacterial SSU rRNA". It matches the Rfam family "Bacterial small subunit ribosomal RNA", at positions 76 to 755 of the family's 1533-position model. The record is from RNAcentral. Lineage: Bacteria; Bacillati; Bacillota; Bacilli; Caryophanales; Bacillaceae.
GAGCUUGCUCUUAUGAAGUUAGCGGCGGACGGGUGAGUAACACGUGGGUAACCUGCCCAUAAGACUGGGAUAACUCCGGGAAACCGGGGCUAAUACCGGAUAACAUUUUGAACCGCAUGGUUCGAAAUUGAAAGGCGGCUUCGGCUGUCACUUAUGGAUGGACCCGCGUCGCAUUAGCUAGUUGGUGAGGUAACGGCUCACCAAGGCAACGAUGCGUAGCCGACCUGAGAGGGUGAUCGGCCACACUGGGACUGAGACACGGCCCAGACUCCUACGGGAGGCAGCAGUAGGGAAUCUUCCGCAAUGGACGAAAGUCUGACGGAGCAACGCCGCGUGAGUGAUGAAGGCUUUCGGGUCGUAAAACUCUGUUGUUAGGGAAGAACAAGUGCUAGUUGAAUAAGCUGGCACCUUGACGGUACCUAACCAGAAAGCCACGGCUAACUACGUGCCAGCAGCCGCGGUAAUACGUAGGUGGCAAGCGUUAUCCGGAAUUAUUGGGCGUAAAGCGCGCGCAGGUGGUUUCUUAAGUCUGAUGUGAAAGCCCACGGCUCAACCGUGGAGGGUCAUUGGAAACUGGGAGACUUGAGUGCAGAAGAGGAAAGUGGAAUUCCAUGUGUAGCGGUGAAAUGCGUAGAGAUAUGGAGGAACACCAGUGGCGAAGGCGACUUUCUGGUCUGUAACUGACACUGAGGCGCG